RNAcentral lists this long non-coding RNA (29284 nucleotides) under Nicotiana tabacum (common tobacco). RNAcentral's name for it is "long non-coding RNA (NTAB_LNC014343)". Lineage: Eukaryota; Viridiplantae; Streptophyta; Magnoliopsida; Solanales; Solanaceae. The record is from RNAcentral.
CCGUUUCUGGAAAAAUAGACCCUAGGCAUCAUCUUCUAAACACCCUAAGACCUAGGAGCAGCUCUAGAUCUCUCACGAAAAAACAAAAUCAGCCGCAGGACCUCUUUAUUCUUCACCUUCUUCUCCAUCAGUACCAAACAAACACACACACGCAAGAGACCAUCUCUAGCCGUCACCUCUCAACCCCAUUCCAACCUCCAUAGGCCGCUCAAGAGCCGGAAACCCGUCGGAAAAUGACGCCCACCACCUCUGAACCCUAGUCUUGAGUCCCAGCAGCCGCUUAAACUAGUCAUCUCUCCCCAAACAUCCAAUCUCCUUCUUCCUCACCUCACAGCAGUUACCCGCCACCCCCCUUUCCUCAAAUCUUCACGAAAAAAGGGGUUUUGAGAGGCGAAAAUUCGAAGAGGAGGGAGAAGGAGAAAGGUUUCAAGUGGGAUCGUCGCUCGAGGUUCAGGUUCAAAGUUCUUUGUCCAGCUUUCACCGAAUCUCUAGAAGUUCGUUCAUCUUGUCGCUGCUUGUGUCUUGUUCGAGUUCGAAAUUUCGUCGUUUGGCACUAUAUUAUGACUGUGUAAUUGCUGAAAAUUUCAGCUAAUUGAAGCUUUAAUUUCAGGUCUGUUUUUCUUUCUUCCUUUUUACUUGUUUUGAUAUUGAAGUUCAAUGUGACUGAAUGCCCCGUUUGCUAGGUGAAAAAUGCUCUGAAUUGCUGAUUCGUUUGCUCGGCCAGUGGAUUAUUAGUUUUGGUUUGUCUAUGCUUUAUUGCCAUUAAUCUCGAUUAGCUUCGUUUGAACUGAUGGCUGAAUAGUUAACGUUUCGUUGAGGCCUAGCGGAUUCUCCUUUGGACUUAAAUCAACUUGAGUUCCUUGUACCUUGAGAUUGAAUUGACACUUCAUUUUUCCCGGAUAAACGAUCCGAAAGUGAAACUCGCUGUUUUGUUUAAUGUCUCUAAAUGCUAUUCUCCUCAUAUGUUAAUUGAGCUACCAGAUUAUCUUGUCGUCUCGUUAGAGAUAGUUUGGGACAUAAUCGCAUGUUGAAAUCAGAAAAAAUCAAUUUUCUCAUGAGAUAAGUUGCUUGUUCUUGUUUGCAGACCCGUUCUCUGUGCCGAUGUAUAGUGAAGCACGCUUUCUGAAUGUGGCCUAAGCUAGUUGCAUCAUCUUUAAUACGUUCUUAGUUUAUUUUUGCCCCUUUAGAGUAGUCCGCGUAUUUGGAGGGUGUCUGAUUUGUCUUUGCAUUACAGUUCCGCCCAUAUUCAUUGUUGAGAUUAUAUGGAUUAGCUUAAACGAGUUUUACAAGCAUCAUGUAGUAACAAUAUCUAGGAAAUGGCACAGUAGUAUUUCAAGGGUGUUUAUGUCUUGCAUGGCUUAUAUAUAUUUUAGCUCAAUCUGUUCCUUUCUCUCACAGUGUAUACUUAGGAUGCAAUAUUUGUCUAGAUGCUUACUACUAUUCAUAUGUGUGUGUUGAUCUACAGGUUUUUUAUUGAGUGCCCAGAAGUUGGUUAUUGUUAAUUUUCUAAUUUGAACACAUUCACUUUCUGUUUUUUUCUACAUUUCUUUUGAUUGGCUUUUUUUAUUUUGUUUGUUUCGUAUAUUUUGGUUAAUUUCUACUAGGUGUCUUUAUAACUUUGCUUGGUGAUUCAUAUCUGUUGGCAUUUCUUCAAAGUGGUCAUUUAUUGGGGUUCAUGCCUGUUAAUUUUUUUGGGGCCGAGGUCCACCGAAACUUUGUUGUUGUUCUUGUUGUUGUAUGAAUACUCAUAAUCUUUGGGCCUGAACAAUUAAUCCCUUCAAUAGCUAGCCCGUCUUUUCACAAUAGCUAAAAUCAUACAUUUCUUCCACAAUAAUUUCAUAUUCAUAAUUCAUGACCUUGCAAUAAUCUCAAAUUAGCUUUUAAGAAUAACCAUGAACUUUCGUAGUUUUGCUUUAGGCGCAUUAUAAUAGAAUUAUCAUAGCUACGUGUACGGUUCCCGUGACGUAGUUGUGAUACAUAAUUUCCAAAUCCGGGGUAAAUUUAUGUGACCCGGCUCAACAACUAAUAAUGUUAAUAAUUUAAACAUGUUGUAAAUCAUGGGUACGGUUCCCGUGACACGAUUCGCAAUGUAUACCAAACAAACAAGUGUACGACAAUCGUAACUUGUUCCUUAAUAAUUUCAUAAAUAUUUAAAACGAGCAAAGGGUAAAAAUGCACAAUAGGUAUAAAACAUGUAAUCAAUCAGAAAUUAGGCCAAUAAUAAUAGUUGAGCGACCAUGCUAAAACUACGGAACCCGGGAAUGCCUAACACCUUCUUCCGGGUUAACAGAAUUCCUUACCCGGAUUUUUGUGUUCGUAAACCAUAAAUAAGAGUCAAACUUCCUCGAUUCGGGAUUUUAAACCAGUGACUUGGGACACCAUAAAUUAUCCCAAGUGGCGACUCUGAUUUUGAAUAAAUAAUCUCGUUCAUUUUUAUCACUUUAAUUGAAAAAACUCCCCUAUACCCUUUUCGGGGUAAAAAAAAGAGGUGUGACAGCUCAGAUUUUUAAAUAAAAAGUCAUUAGCAAUUUCGUAAUUAAUCUAAAAAAUCUGGUAACCCAAUUCUUAGUAAACUGACCAUAAAAUCCUCAUACUUGUCCAAAAUUCACGGUUCUUUUUGCUAUGGCUCCGUUAUUACGAUAUAGAUCUAAUGCUUUAAUUGAAACAAAAAUCGGAGCUCAUUUGUUUAAUGUGGUAGCAUUUAUGCUUGAAUAAACAACGACGAAACAUAAGAAAAACGAGUGCAACACAGCCUAGAUCUAUCCGAAACUCACUCGAGCCCCUAGGGACCUCGUACGUACAUACCAACAAGUCCCAUAGCAUGACACAGACCUACUCAAGGCUUCAAAUCACACAUAACAAUAUCGGAACGACAAAACACACCUCAAAUCAAACUUAAUGAACUUUCGACUUGCAAAAACUAGCGCUAAAACAAUCAAAUCAACUCGGAAUGAACUCAAAUUUUGCAUGCAACUCCUAAUCAUCAUACGGAGCUACUCAUGCUCCCAAACUACCGAGCGAAGUGCAAAUGCUCAAAACAUCCAAUCGGGUCGUUACAGUCCUCCUUAUUGAAAGAUGAGUGGAGAGAAAAUAGGAAAAGUAUGUAAUUCAAUCAUAUAAUUUAAGGCACUAAUAAUGAAUUGUAUAUAAUUUGUAAGUAAUCUUUGUUUAUGUUGGAUAAUAAAUAAAAUUAGGAUAAUUUUAGUAAAUAAGUUUCAAAUAUUGUAUAGGAAGGAAAACAACAACAACGACCAAGUGAAAUCCCACCAGUGGGGUCUUGGGAGGGUAAUGUGUACGCAGACCUUACCCCUACCCCGAAGAAAUAGAGAGGUUGUUUCCGAAAGACCCUCGGCUCAAGAGGACAAAAAGACAAAAGGAGAUAAAAUCAGUAACACCACAGAAAUAAUAGGAAAAUAGGGAAAAUAGGAACGACAUGAAAUCUUGAAGAAGGAUACAAAGCAAAAGCGAAAUAGUAUCCCUACCAAACUAAUCCCACAAAGUUAUGACAUAAGGCAAGACUCGACUACCUCCUAGCCUACAACCUUAAUAUUCGACCUCUACGUGUUCCUAUCAAGUGUCCUAUCCUCGAAAAUCUGAAGCCUUGCCAUAUCCUGCUUGAUUAACCCCCCCCCCCCCAAUACUUCUUACGGCCGCCCCUAGCUCUUCUCGUGCCCUGCACAACUAGCCGUUCGAACCUCCUUACCGGAGCAUCUAGGCUUCUCUUCUGAACAUGCCCGAACCAUCUGAGCCUCGCUUCCCGCAUCUUGUCAUAAAUGGGAGCCACGCAUACCUUCUCCCGAAUAUCAUCCUUCAUAAUCUUAUCCAUCCUAGUAUGCUCGCACAUCUACCUCAACAUCCUCAUUACUGCUACCUUCAUCUUCUGGAUAUGUGACUUCUUAACAGGCCAACACUCAGCCCCAUACAUCAUGGCCGGUCUAACCACCGCUUUAUAUAACUUACUUUUGAGUAUCAGUGGCACUCUCUUGUCGCACAAUACUCCAGAUGCUAACCUCCACUUCAUCCAUCCUACCCCAAUGCGGUGUGUGACAUCCUCGUCGAUCUUCCCUCCCCCUGGAUAACCGACUCAAGGUACUUGAAGCUGCCUCUACUUGGGAUGACCUGUGAUUCAAGCCUCACAUCCACGCCCAUUUUCCCCUGCUCGACGCUGAACUUACACUCCAGGUAUUCUGUCUCCAUCCAGCUAAGCUUAAAAACCUUAGAUUCAAGAGCCUGUCUCCAACCUCCAGCCUCUCGUUAACACCGGCUCGCAACUCAUCAAUCAGAACUAUGUCAUCGGCGAAUAGAAUGCACCAUGGCACAUCCCCUUAAAUGUGGUGUGUUAACGCAUCCAUUACCAGGGCGAAUAAGAAUGGACUGAGUGCAAAAUCUUGGGGUAACCCCAUGACAACAGGAAAAUCCUCAGAGUCGCCUCCUACUGUCCUAACCCGAGUCUUUUCCCCAUCAUACAUGUCCUUAAUCGUCAUAAUGUAGGGAACCGACACAUCUUUUGCCUCCAAGCUUCUCAGAGAACUUCUCUAGGAACCUUGUCAUAUGCUUUCUCUAGGUCAAUAAACACCAUGUGCAGGUCUUUCUUCCUAUCUCUGUACUGUUCAACCAACCUCCUAACAAGGAAAAAUCAUUUAAUAUAUUUAGUUUGACUUGUGAGGAAUAAUAUUGGAAAAUUGAGAAUAAAUUCGGUACCAACCGUCUAUAAAUAUUUUUUUUUGAGCAAACCGUAAAUAUUAUAUUAAAAACUACUUAGUGUUUCGACAUAACCUUCAUAAUUUGUGACACUAAGGACACAUUGAUUGCCUAAGCUUGCUAGGAUAUUGCAAGCAUCAUAGGAUAAAGAUUUAACAAAAAUAUAGAGAUCUUUUUGUUUACUUUCCAAGGCGAUUAUUUUUAGUUUAAACGAUUGAGCGGGUGGCUGAUCGGGUUAAUUCUACUAAAUAAAAUAAUGAAUGCAUGGAUCAAUAGAGGAGGAAAAAAUGGAUGCAUUCAAUAUUCCUGCAUACAAUCCAUCUCCUGCAGAAGUGAUGUAUGUUGUUGAGAAAGAAGGAUCUUUUGCCAUUGAUUGCUUGGAAACUUCAGAAAUCCCAAGGUAUUAUUCUUCUGAUGAGAAGUAUAAUAUGGUACAAAGUUUUAGAUCUGUGGCUGAACCUUUGCUUGUUAGCCAUUUUAGUGAUGAAUUGAAUAUAGAUCAAUUCUUCCACUAGAGAGAUCAUUGCAAAUAAUUGCAUGGAAAAAGAGAAGACUAUGUUCAUAAAUGUCAGUGUUUCCUUGGUUAAAAGAAACUAGGGCAGAGGCGAAGUUAUGAUUUGUAUUAUCCGGAUCCAUAGUUCAUUUUUGUUAUUGAGUGUGUAAAUAAAUAUUUAUACAUAUUUAAUAGAUUUUACUUAUAUAAUAUGUGAUAGCUUUGGUACAACUCAUAACUAACUACAACAAUAAUAACAUAAGCACCCGGCAUGUACAAUAACCAACUCAUCAAUGCUACACAGUCUUCCCAAAACCCGAAUCAUCGUGAGUCACAAACUAUAGAAGGAAAACUAGUGUCUCUAUACAUAAGAGUCUAACAAAAGAAGUACAGGAGAUAAUGGACAUAUGGGAGAAUAAAGGGGACUCUGAGGUAUGCGGAUACGACAGAUAUACCUUAAAGUCUCCAACUGUCGCUACUCACUGAUGACGCGGUUGGUAAGAAGUACCUAGAUCUGCACACAAAAAUAUGUGCAGAAGAGCAGCAUGAGUACACCACAACGGUACCUAGUAAGUUCCAAGCCUAACCUCGAUCGAGUAGUGACGAGGUCAGGUCAGGCCCUACUGGUAUAUAUAUAUUUAAAAUAAGAUGGAAAAAAAUAUCACAGUAAUAUAAAAGACUGAAAUUUAACCAGAAAGAAAUCAUAAAAGGAUAACCGUAUAGUGUACAGAAAUAAUCACAGGGGAUCUUCCGAGAUACCAUCUCGUAGUCCCAAAAAUAAUUGUGCAGGUCUCGGUAUAUCGUCCCGUAUUCCUAAAGUAAAUAUGCAGGGGGUUCUCCCGGGGCACCGUCCACCAGUCCCAAAAGUAAAUGUGCAGGGAGAGAUCUCUCGGGAUACCAUCCCAUAGUCCCAAAGUAAAUAUGCAGGAGGAUAAUAGCUGUAAUACGAAAUCCUACAUUUUAGACUAAGUAUAAGUCAAGGAAGAAGUAGGAAAUCCACUAAGCAUGCUGCACAGAGUUCAGAUAAGCAUUUAAGAGACGUAGACAUACUAUUUUAGGCUAAACAGGAUAAUUACACAUGCUAGUAUAACUUAAUUAAAGUGAAAUAGAAUAUUACUUAGUGAAAGACGGAGUUUUACAACAAUAGCCAUGUACACACUCGCCACUUCACGUACACGACGCUCACAUAUCAUAACAGUACCAAAUCCUAAGGGGAGUUCCCCCACACAAGGUUAGGCAAGUCAUUUACCUCGAACCAAGCUCAAUCAAUCGGUAACAAUGCCUUUUCCACAAAUAUCCAACUUUGAAUGACCCAAAUCUCGCCACAAGCAAUUACAUAUCAUUAAUAUAACUCUAAUAGACUAAUCUAAUUAAUAAAAUCAAGACUUUAAUAAGAAAUUCGAAAAUUGCUUUAAAAAGUCUCCCAGGGGCCACGUCUCGGAAUCGGGUAAAAAUCACAAAAUAUGAAUACUCAUUCAUUCACGAGUUCACUUAUACAAAAAUUAUCCAAAUCCGAUUUUAAAAUCCCAAUCAAAACCCAAAAUCUUAGUUGAAGAACUUGUUCUCAUUUUUCUCAAUUUUCAACCCAAAUUCGAAAUCAAAUAAUGAAAUUAAUGAUAGAUUAUUGGGAUAUAACCAAAAUCAAGUGUAGAAUCAUUACCCAAUCGAUGUCUCUGAAAAUCCCUCAAAAUCUCAUCCAAAUCCAAGCUCCCAAACUCAAAUUUUGAUAAAAAUGGCCAAACCCUCAUUUUUGAAAACUUAUAUUCUGUUCAGGUAAUUCUUUCUUCGCGAACACGGUCAAACCCUCGCGUUCGCGUUGAACUCGCGUUCGCAUAGAACAAUUUCCUUGGGGUCCCAGCUGCUCCAUUUCCCUUAAGCGAACGCGAUGCACCUCACGCGUUCGCGAUGCACUGAUCAUUAGACCUUCACGAACGCGGCCCCAUCUUCAUGACACGAAGAACAACUUCAGCUGGCCUCCCAGAUACCUUACGCGAAUGUGAGACCUCUCUCAUGAGCGCAAUGAAGAAAAGCCUUCCGUUGAGCAUUCGAAACAUACCCAAGGCCCUCGGGACCUCAACCAAUCAUAGCAAGAAGUCCUAAAAUACCAUACGGACUUAGUCGAGCCCUCAAAUCACAUCAAACAACGCUAAAAAUACGAAUCACCCUCCAAUCCAAACUUAAUGAACUUGAAACUUCAAAUUUCUACAACCGAAAUCGAAACCUAUCAAACCAUGCUUGAUUGACCUCAAAUUUUGCACACAAGUCAAUUCAACAUUACGGAGCUACUCCAACUUCUGGAAAUCCAAUGCGACCCCGAUAUCAAAAAGUCCACUACCGGUCAAAAUCUCCAAAAAUUUGACCUUCGCCAUUUCAAGCCUAAAUUAGCUACAAACUUCUAAAACACAAUCCGGACAUGCCCCUAAGUCUAAAAUCACCCAAUGGAGCUAACAGAACCGACGAAACUCCAUUUCGAAGUCGUCUUCACACAGUUCUGACUACGGUCGAAAUCCUAUAACUUAAGCUUCCGUUUUUGGGACUAAGUGUCCCAAAACACUCCGAAACCACAAACAACACCUCCCAACAAGUUACACAAUCAGAAAAAGAUACGGGGGAAGCAGUUAAUAGGGGAUUGGGGCUAUUACUCUCAAAACAAGCUACCUGGUCGUUACAUCCUCCCCUCUUAAAACAAUCGUUCAUCCUCGAACGAGCAUAGAAACAUACCUGAAGUGGUGAAAAGAUGAGGAUAACGGUUGUGCAUAUCCUGCUCGAUCUACCAAAUCGCCUCCUCGACCGGCUGACCCCUCUACUGAACCUUCACUGAAGCAAUGUUUUUCGACUUCAGCUUUCGAACCUGCCUAUCUAAAAUAGCCACUGGCUCCUCAACAUAAGAUAAAUCCUUGUCCAACUGGACUGAGCUAGAAUUCAACACGUGAGACGGAUCACUGUGAUACUUCCGGAGCCUAUAAACGUGGGAUACCGAAUGAACUCCUGCUAGACUAGAGGUAAGGCAAACUCAUAAGCAACCUUCCUAACUCGCCGCAACACCUCAAAUGGGCCAAUGAACCUUGAGAUCUGCUUGCCCUUCUUCUCGAAUCCUCAUAAUGCCCUUCAUAGGCGAAACCCGGAGAAAGACUCACUCUCCAACCAUGAAUGCAACAUCGCGAACAUUCCAAUCCACAUAACUCUUCUGUCUGGACUGGGCUAUACGAAGUCUAUCCUGAAUCACCUUAACCUUCUCCAAAGCAUCAUGAACCAAGUUUGUACCCAAUAAUCUAGCUUCGCCCUGCUCGAACCAACACACUGGAGACGGACACCGCCUGCCAUAUAAAGACUCAUACGAUGCCAUCUGAAUGUUGGACUGAUAUGUUGUUAUAGGCAAACUCUGCAAGUGGCAAGAACUGAUCCCAAGAACCUCCAAACUCCAUCACACAUGCACGAAGCAUAUCCUCUAGUAUCUGAAUAGUGCGCUCGGACUGCCAGUCCGUCUGAGGGUGACCUAACUCAUGAUGUACCGCCCUCCGGAACCGUGAUGUAAACUGUGUACCCUGGUCAGAGAUGAUAGAUACCGGCACGCCAUGAAACCUGAUAAUAUCGCGGAUAUAAACUCGAGCCAGCUGCUCGAAAAAAUAGGUAGUCAUCACAGGAAUGAAAUGAGCUGACUUGAUCAGUCUAUCCACAAUCACCCAAACUGCAUCAAACUUCCGCUGAGUCCGUGGGAGUCCAACAACGAAAUAUGUAGUGAUCCGCUCCCAUUUCCUCUCCAGAAUCUCUAACUUCUGAAGCAAUCCACCCGGCUGUUGAUGCUCAUACUUCACCUACUGGAAAUUUAGGCACCGAGCUACAUACUCCACUAUAUCCUUCUUCAUUCUACGCCACCACUAAUGUUGUCUCAAGUCCUGAUACAUCUUCGUGGAACCAGAUAAAUAGAGUACCGCGAACUGUGAGCCUCCUAGAGAAUCAACUCACGUAAUCCAUCUAUAUUGGGCACACAUAGCCUGCCGUGCAUCCUUACUGCACCAUCAUCUCCAAUAGUGACCUCCUUAGCAUCACCAUACUGAACCGUUUCCUUAAGGACAAGCAGAUGGGGGUCAUCAUACUGACGCUUCCUGAUACGAUCAUAAAGAGAAGACUGAGAGACCACACAAGCCAAAACUCGACUCAGCUCAAAAAUAUCCAAUCUAACAAACUGGUUGGCUAAGGCCUAAACAUCCAGUGCCAAUGGUCUCUCUACUGUUGGCAAAUAUGCUAAACUCCCCAAACUCCCCUCCCUGCGACUCAUGCAUUGGCCACCACAUUGGCCUUCUCGGGAUGGUAUAGAAUAGUGAUAUCAUAAUCCUUAAGCAGCUCUAACUACCUCCGCUGACGCAAGUUAAGAUCUUUCUGCUUGAACAGAUGCUGCAAACUCCUAUGAUCAGUAUAAAUCUCACAAGGGACACAGUACAACUAGUGCCUCCAAAUCUUCAAGGCAUGAACAAUGGCUGCUAACUCAAGGUCAUGGACGAGAUAAUUCUUUUUCAUGCACCUUCAGUUGUCUGGACGCGUAGGCGAUCACCCUACAGUCUUGCAUCAACACCGCAUCGAGUUCAAUCUACGACGCAUCAUAAUAAAUAGUAUAAGACUCUGAACCUGUAGGCAAUACUAAUACUGGGGCUGUAGUCAAAGUUGUCUUGAGCUUUUGAAAGCUCUCCUCGCACUCAUUUGUCCACCUGAACGGAGCACCCUUCUUGGUCAGCCUGGUCAUAGGUGCUGUAAUAGAUGAGAACAACAAAUCGACGGUAAUACCCCGCCAAACCAAGAAAGCUCCGGAUCUCUGUGGUUGAGGACGGUCUGGGCCAACUCUACACUGCUUCCACCUUCUUUGGAUCCACCUUGAUCCCCUCACUACAUGCCCCAAAAAUGCCACGGAAUCUAACCAAAAUUCAUAUUUUGAGAACUUCGCAUAUAACUUCUUUCUCUUAAGGUUUGAAGCACAGUCCUCAGGUGUUGCUCGUGCUCCUCUCGACUUUGGGAGUACACCAGAAUGUCGUCAAUAAACACAAUGACGAAAGAGUCAAGAUAUGGCCGAAAUACAUUGUGCAUCAAAUGCAUAAAUGCUGCUGGGGCGUUGGUCAGCCUAAAUGACAUCACAAGGAACUCGUAAUGACCAUACCGAGUCCUGAAAGCAGUCUUUGAGAUGUCUGGCUCCCGAAUAUUCAACUAAUGAUAGCCUGAACGCAAGUCAAUCUUGGAAAACACUCUAGCACCCUGUAACUGAUCAAAUAAGUCAUCAAUACGAGGCAAAGGAUACAUGUUCUUCACUGUAAUUUUGUUCAACUGGCAAUAAUCAAUGCACAUACGCAUAGAACCAUCAUUUUUCUUCACAAACAAGAUAUGAGCACCCCAAGGUGACACACUAGGCUGAAUGAAGCCCUUAUCAAGCAAUUCAUGUAACUGUUCCUUCAACUCCUUCAACUUAGGAGGAGCCAUACGAUAUGGAGGAAUAGAGAUCGGCUUAGUGCCCGGCAAUAAAUCAAUACCAAAGUCGAUAUCUCUGUCGGGUGUCAUGCCCGGAAAAUCAGCUGGAAACACAUCAGAGAAAUCCGUCAGCAUUGGGACUGACUCAACUGUAAGGGUAUCAAUACUAACAUCUUUCACAUAAGCUAGAUAUGCGUCACACCCCUUCCCAACUAUUUGUUGAGCUUUAAGAAAUGAAAUAACUCUGCUGGAAGUGUAAUCUAAUGUACCCCUCCACUCUAACCGCGGUAAGCCUGGCAUAGCCAGCAUCAUGGUCUUGGCGUGACAAUCAAGAAUAGCAUAAUGGGGCGAUAACAAGUCCAUGCCCAAGAUAAUAUCAAAAUCUACCAUACUAAGCAAUAACAAAUCGACUCUGGUCUCAAAACCACUAAUAACAACCAAACACGACUGAUACACACGGUCAACAACAAUAGAAUCUCUCACGGGUGUAGACACAUACACAAGAAAACUCAUAGAAUCAUGGGAUAUGCCCAAAUACGAAGUAAAAUAAGUUGACACAUAGAAAUAAGUGUAGCCUAGAUCGAAUAGAACCGAUGCAUCUCUGUAACAGAUCGGAACAAUACCUGUAAUGACAGAGUCAGAAGCAACUACCUCUAUACGAGCAGGAAGGGCAUAGUAUCUAUCCUGGCCUCCCCCUCUAAGGCGACCUCUACCUCCCUGACCUCCACCUCGAGCUGGCUGAGUAGGUGGAGUGGUAGCUGGUGCUGUAAUCAUAGCCUGAGGACCCUGGGGAGCACGUUGUGGCUGAGAAGUUUGUGGAGGUGCACCCCUCCUAAGUCAGGGGCAAUCCAUCACCAUAUGGCAAGUGUCGCCACACUCAAAACAAGCUCUAGGAGGGCGUGGCUGCCAUGGCUGGAUCGGGCCAGGUCUGCUGGGCUGACCGCUGGAAACACCCCGUGUAGGGGACACACUAGAUACUGGCGGUGCAUAAUAAGGCUCGUGGGGUUUAGAAGUAGCUGGAAUACCACUGGCGGCUGGAAGAGCUGAAUGAACGGGGCAACUCACGUAGCCCCUACCAUGUCGAACUGUAGCUGGGGCACAAGCACUAGAGUAAGAACCAGUCUCUCGAGACCUCUUGGCCUCUCUCUCCUCUCUCUCUCAAGCAAGCAUGCCCUCCACUCUCCUAGCAAUAUUCACAACCUGCUGAUACGAAAUAUACAUCUCUAACUCCCGGUCCAUGCUAGUCCUGAUGUUGGGAUGGAGUCCCUCAAUAACACGUCGGACCCUCUCUCGAACUGUAGAAACCAAGGUCGAUGCAUGUCUAGCCAAAUCACUGAAACGAAUUGCAUACUCUAACACCGUCAUAGCACCCUGGCGUAAUUGCUCAAACUUGGCAUGCCAUGCAUCUCUGAGGCUCUAGGGAACAUGAUUUUAUACCCCAUGUUUUCGUACGUGAAAGUACGCCAUAAGUAAAUUGAUGUAAGUUUGGGAAUGAGAUUAUUUUGAGAUUAUAAGCAUUAUGCUAUUUCAAACAAGUGAUGAAUAAAUUCGUGAAGGUUAGAGGGUAAGCAAAUCGAAGAAAAUAAAUUUCGUCGAAGUUGGAGAUAAAAUACAGUCCAAGCUACAAUACCACGUAUUUAUAGACUUGUGCCAUACAAGGCACCACACGACCAUGAUAGUGAGGUGUACAAGGUAUGUCAAAAGUGAGUAACAUUUUAAGUAAUUUGAGAUAAUUCUUAAAUAUGUGGAUAAUUGGGUAGUUAAUAAUUUUUAGUGGGAGAUUAACUAAUUAAUUCAAAUAAUUGGAUAAGGUUUAAUGACCCUUAACAUGGCAGCAAGAUUGAUCAAGUAAAUGACUCUUAAAUUCUCAUAAAAUGUUGCAAAAUUUGGAGAAGUUUUUGGCCAACUAAGCCACUAAGUGGGGCCCACUCCUAAGGGUUAAGAGAACCUCUCUAACUCAUUUUCUAAUCUUUACCCAUCAAAGAAGGUUUCAGCAAAAUAUUAAAGACUUUGGUCCCUACUUUCUUUGGUUUCCUAAUAGCUUCAAACGUGAGAGGCUCUCUAAAAUUCACAAAAUUAAAAAGGCUUAUGACUACAAAGUGCGGAUGAGGCUUCAACAAAUUCAUACAAGAUCCUAUUAUGUGUGAGAUGCAAUUCUAUGUAAGCACAGUACAAUCUUUCUCAGGAAUAUCAUACAGAUUUUUUCCUACUUCGAUCCGUCGUUACGUGUUGUCGCAAUUGAUGUAUGUUAGAGGGAUUGUCAAGAGAAUCGGCUCAGGAAUGGUAAGACAAUCCCUUCUUUUCUUUUGGCAUGAUCCAUACGAUACAAAUGAAACGAGCAAAUGCAUAACUUCCAUAAAGGACUCUAUUCAUAGAAAUGCUAGAGAUGCUUAUGUUCUUGACUCCCCAUGUGUCCUAUUAUUCUAUCAUUUGUUCAUGGGUCUCAGAAAAUACAUAGAUUGAUAAAGUUUACUUCAUGAUAUUAAUCAGAGGCAUAAUGGUCUUAUGACAAUUGCAAGAGAUUUUAUUGACAUACUUCUCACGCAUUGCAUUCAUGUACAUUGACCCAUGACCAGAUGGCGUUAUAUACACACCACCACCUGAUCAGCUGGUAUACAUUGAUAAUUUACCCAUAGUGGCCAAGAUGAUAUGAUGUGAUGCCCUCAGAGGCUUGAUGAUGUUAUGAACGCAUAUACCCAUGCAUGGUAUGAUAUUUAUAUGCAUAUGCAUGACAUUAUAAGUAUUAAAUGAUUCACAGAGUUAUUCAGACUUACAUGUCGAGUCUUUUACUCCAUGUUUCUCUCAUAUCUAUUAUUUACUAAUUUUCAUUCCUUACAUACUCGGUACAUCAUUUGUACUGACGUCCCUUUUUGCUUGGGGACACUGCGUUUCAUGCCCGCAGGUCCUGAUAGAUAGGUCGAGAGCCCUCCAAGUAGGCUAUUAGCUCAACGGAAGAUGUUGGUACGCUCCAUUUGCUCCGGAGUUGCUUGUUUGGUCAUGAUUUAGACGUGUAUUCUUUGGUAUGGCGGGGCCCUGUCCUGACCUUUAUGAUAAGUAUGUACUCUUAGAGGCUUGUCGAUAGAUGUCAUGUAUACAGAUACUUGUAUGGCCUUGUCGGCUUAUAUUUAAAGUAUAUAAUGGAUCACAUUGGCCUUAUAGGCCCGUAUGUCACAAGUAUAAGUUUCUAUAUCAGGUAGGGUCGUUGUAAGUCGGGUAUUCCCUCAUGUUUACUCUAGUUAUCUCAUGACGCGCCUUCUGGCCCACUUAUCUAUAAUGAUGUAAUAGGAAAGAUACGUUAUGUUGGUACUCGGUUGAGUAAGGUACCGGGUGCCCGAUGGGCCGUGACACAUGCUCCCUAAAAAAUAUAUCCGAGAAUUGAGUCCAUAUAAGUGAGGUUGCCUAAGCCGGACUGUCCAUCUCAUAAGCACGCUACCACUAAUAGGCUGCUCCUCUAAGAUGAAACAUAGUGAAGGAAACCCCACUCGACUCUGCUAUGCCCAUAGUAUGGAGGAUACGAUGGUACUCCUCCAGAAAGCCCUAAGCAUCCUCUGUCGCCAAAACACUGAAGGUAGGAGGGUGGUACUUCUUGUACCUCUCGAGCCUACAUUGCUCCUCCUCAGAAACUGUUGCCCUACCUUCGGGUUGAACUGGGGCUAGCGGUGGCACCAGUAUAACCUCUGGAAUUUGAUCGACUUGAUCCUGCUACUCUAGGGUGCAGGCAACAGGAGUUUGUGCUCCUCCCCCGAACUGAGAUGUGGCAAGAGCAAGGGGAAUCAACCCUGCCUGAGCUAGAGUACUAAACAUGCUCAUGAAUUGUCCAAGGGUCUCCUGAAGAGCUGGUGCAGUAGUAGUAGACAUCUCAGGUGUCUGCACUCCGACUGGAGCUACUAGUGGCUCCUCUGUGGCAGCUCGUGCAGGUGAUCUGCCUGCACCAUGUGGACGUCCUCGUCCUCUACCCCAGCCCUAUGUGUCCUCACUAUCUAUGAUAGAAUAGAAGACAGAAGUUUAGAAUUUCGAGGUCAACAAAUUUUCGCACGACAAGGAAAUCAAAGAAGUGUAACUUUCCUAACAGUUCCAUAGCCUCCCGAAGAUAAGUACAGCCAUCUCCGUACCGAUUAGCGAGACUCUAAAUAACUGGCAUGUGACUCACGACACCUAUGAACCUAGAGCUCUAAUACCAACUUGUCACGGUCCAAUUUUCCCUCCGUAAGACGUCGUGACGACAUCUAGUCUCUGCGACUAGGUAAGCCUAAACAGUUACGGAAAUAAUAGGAACAGAAGGAAAACUCACAAAUAACUGCAACAAUAAUAACAUAACUGAAAACCAUGCCGCUAGGCAUGUACAAUAACCAACUCCUCAAUACUACAUAAUCUUCCCAAAACCCGGAACAUCAUGAGUCACAAACUACAGAAGGAAAACUAGUGUCUCUAUACAUCAGAGUCUAACAAAAGAAGUACAGGAGAUAAUGGACAUAGGGGAGAAUAGAGGGGGACUCCGAGGUCUGGGAUGCGGCAAAUAUACCUUGAAGUAUCCAACCGUCGCUGCUCACUGAUGAUGUGGCUGGUAAGAAGUACCAGGAUCUGCACUCGAAAACAUGUGCAAAAGAGUAGCAGGAAUACACCACAAUGGUACCCAAUAAGUUCCAAGCCUAACCUCGGUCGAGUAGUGACGAGGUCAGGUCAGGCCCUACUGGUAUAUAUAUGUAAAAUAAGACGGAACAAAAAUAUCACACUAAUGUAAAAGACUGAAAUUUAACCAGGACAAAAUCACCCAAGGAUAACAGUAUAGUGUACAGAAAUAACCACAGGGAAUCUCCCAGAAUAUCGUUCCGUAGUCCCAAAAGUAAAUGUGCAUGAGGGGAUCUCCCGGGAUACCGUCCUGUAGUCUCAAAAGUAAAUGUGUAGGCGGGAUCUCCUAAGAUACCGUCCCAUAGUCACAAAGUAAAUAUGCAGUGGGAUAACAGCUAUAACACAAAAUCCUACAGUUUAGAUUAAGUACAAGUCAAGGAAGAAGCAAGAAAUUCACUAAGCAUGCUGCACAGAGUUCAGUUAAGCAUUUAAGAUACGUAGACAUGCUAUUUUAGGCUAAACAGAACAAUUACACAUGCUAGAAUAACUCAAUUAAAGUUAAACAUGUUAUUGCUUCAUGAAAGACGGAGUUUUACAACAAUAGCCUGUGUAUGCACUCGUCAUCUUAUGUACACGACGCUCACAUAGCACAACGAUACCAAAUCCUAAGAGGAGUUCCCCCACACAAGGUUAGGAAAGCCACUUACCUCGAACCAAGCUCAAUCAAUCGGUAAUAAUAUUUUUUCCACGAAUAUCCGACUCUGAAUAGCCCAAAUCUAGCUAAAAGCAAUUAUAUAUCAUAAAUAUAAUUAUAAUAGACUAAUCUAAUUAAUGAAAUCAAGACUUUAAUAAGAAAUUCAAAAAUUGCUCUAAAAAGCCUCCCUGGGUCCACAUCUCAGAAUCGGUUAAAAGUCACAAAAUAUAAACAUCCAUUCACUCACGAGUUCACUCGUACAAAAAUUAUCCAAAUCCGACAUCAAAAUCCCAAUAAAAAACUAAAAUCUUAGUUGAAGAACUUCUUCCCAUUUUUCCCAAUUUUUCAAUCCAAGUCCAAAAUUAAAUGAUGAAAUUAAUGAUAGAUUAGUGGGAUAUAACCAAUAUCAAGUGUAGAAUCAUUACCCAAUCGAUGUCUUUGAAAAUCCAUCAAAAUCUCGUCUAAAUCUGAGCUCCCAAACUCAAGUUUUGAUAAAAAUGGUCAAACCCUAGUUUUUGAAAACUUAUAUUUUGUCGAGGUAAUUCCUUCUUCACGAAUGCGGUCAAACCCUCGCAUUCGCAUUGAACAAAAAUCCACUGACCAAACUUUCCCAUUCGCGAAUGCGACUAUCCCCUCGCGAAUGCGUAGGUUCCACUGCCUACUGCUUCGCGAAAGCGAUCUCAACUACGCGAACGCGUAGAACAAUUUCCUUGGGGUCCCAGCUGCUCCGUUUCCCUUUUGCGAAUGCGAUGCCCCUCACACGUUUGGGAUGCACUGAUCAUUAGACCUUCGCAAACGCAGCCCCAUCUUCACCAAGGCGAAAAACAACUUUAGCUGGCCUCCCGGAUACCUUUCAUGAACGCGAGACCUCUCUCACGAAUGCGAUGAAGAAAAGCCUGCAACAGAAAUACCAGAAAAUCUGCUAUCCUCCCAAGUCCAAAAAUGAUUCGUUGAGCAUCCGAAACACACCAGAGGCACCCUAGAUCUGAACAAGUCCUAAAAUACCAUAUGGACUUAGUCGAGCCUUCAAAUCACAUAAAACAACGAUAAAUCUAAAGUCCACUACCGGUCAAAAUCUCCAAAAAUUUGAUCUUCGCCAUUUCAAGCCUAAAUCAGCUACAGACCUCCAAAACACAAUCCGAACACGUUCCUAAGUCCAAAAUCACCCAAUGGAACUGACGAAACUCCAUUCUGGAGUUGUCUUCACACAGUUCCGACUAUGGUUAAAAUCCUAAGACUUAAGCUUCCGUUUUAGGGACUAAGUGUCCCAAGACACUCCGAAACCACAAAUAAAACCUCCCGGUAAGUCACAUAAGCAGAAAAAGAUUCGAGGGAAGCAGUUAAUAGGGGAUUGGGGCUAUUACUCUCAAAACGACCGGCCGAGUCGUUACACUAGUGUGUAUGCAGACCUUACCCCUACAUUGUGAGGAUAUAGAGAGGCUAUUUCCAAUAGACCCUCAGCUCAGGAAAGCAAAAGCACCACAUUAUUGAAAAUAUAGACAAGAAGGGACAGUACCAAAAAGUCAUGUAAAAGCAGAAUAAAAACAACAAGAUAGUAAGGUGAUCAACAAUGAAAGAAAACAACGGUUAGCCAUAAAAUCCUACAACUAACAAAAAGCGAGAUUGCGUGUCAAUACUACUGUUACGAACACUCUAGACUACCUACUCUACUAUCCUAAUCCUCGACCUGCAUACCUUCCUAUCAGGGGUCAUGUCCUCGGUCAGAUGAAUUUGCGACAUGUCUUGCCUAAUCACCUCUCUCCACCUCUUCUUUGUCCUAAAUCUACCUCUUCGUAGGCCCUCCAAUGUCAACCUCUCACACCUUCUCACAGGGGCAUCUGUGCUUCUCCUCCUCAUAUGACUAAACCACCUAAGUCACGCUUCAUACAUCUUAUACUCAAUAGGAGUCACACCCACCUUGUCGUGAAUAACAACUUUAUCUGAAUUCUUAUGAAAUUAAAGAUGCUGACCAGUCUUUAUUCGGUCUUUUCUACUCAGGUUUGCUUUAUUUAUGUUACACUUCAAUUAGUUGUAGGACAAAUGCAAAUUGAGGAUUUUCUCUACUGAAAGUCUUUUCUGUUAGGUUAUUCGUUUAACCUUCUGGUACUCUUUUACAACAAUGGAAUUUAACAAGAUAAAUGUAAAUUGGAACUGUUUUAUUUCUUUAAAGUGAAAAGUUAUGUGCCUUAGUCGUUGUUGCUAAAAUGCUUCCUUCAUUUCAGAAUUUUUUAUAGGAACUUCUUGGCUACACACAGUGGAGAAACCAAGAAUUUUAUUUAGAGUGUUCAAACUUGAAAGAAGUAAAAAGAAUUUCCAAUAAAAUUUGUUCAAUAUAUAUUAUAUACAUCUAAAAUUCAAUAUUUUACCUAUAUAUACAGUAUAAUUUUUCGAUUAAGGGUUGUCAGUUGACCACCCUUAAUGAUUAUAUAGCUUCGCCCUUGCCUACACAUUGAUGGAAAAUUCUAUAAUCAUAGAUGAUCAUGUUUUGAAAUACACCGCUUCUAAUUACUGUGUUGGUUCUUUUUAGAUGCAAUGCAUUUUAGUUUGUGUUACUUUAGUAUUCUGAAUAAAGGGUACUUAUCUUGGUAAAAUGUUACUUCGGAAACGUUGACGAUGAUCAUAAUCAUACAUUAUCUAUCACGACCCAAAUUUCAACUAGCUACGAUAAUACCUAACCUCACCCACUAGGUAAGCCAAAUAACAACAAUUUGAUUCAAUUAAUAUUUAAUCGACUCUAAUACACUCCCCAAGGACUGGUAUAAACCAUUAGCUUCUAAGAUUCAGAAUUUACAAAGUUGGUGUAAAAUAAAGUACAUCAUCUGUUUAAAAAUACAUGAACAAAUUUUGAAAUCUAAAGCUACCAAGAUCAAGAGGCAGCUAUGACCGGAACGCAUAUACAUCUCCAAUGCUAGCUCCCGCCAUACACAACAACAUCAUCAUCCAAAAUUUGCACGCAAGGUGUAGAAGUGUAGUAUGAAUACAACCGAUCACAUGUAAUCAAUAAGUAACAAACUUAGCCAUAGGUUGAAAGUAGUGACGAGCUUGUAUCAAGGUCAGAGUUCACACUAAUAACCGGUAGCAUCAAUAUAAUUAAAAUAGCAAAAGUAAUAACUCAAUAAUAAAAUGCCCAACUCGUUCACAAUUCUAGAAAAAAAUAGACAUUUUCUUUUCAAGUUUGCCGAAAUUACCGAAAAUAUGAGUAAGUCUGAAAUUUGUGAUUUUUCUUAAAACAUUUAACAACAUAUAAGAAAUUUCAUUAUCAGAUGGCACGAGGAAAAAUAUUUCUCUAUGCCUACAUAUCAAGCAUGCAGGUCUAAUGCCAUACAACACAGUGAUAAACUCAUGUACUCAUACUCUCAGAGUACUCAAUCUCACUUAUCAAGGUCAGGAUCAGCACGGACAACUCACGUGCUGCACGGUCAACUCACGUGCUAUAAUAUCAAUAUUUGGAUCUGCACUGACAACUCACGUGCUAAUAAUAUCAAUCGAUGGAUCCGUACGGACAACUCAAGUGUUGCACAGACAACUCAUGUGCUAAUAAUAUCAAUCGAUAAAUUCGCACAGACAACUCACAUGCUAAUAAUAUCAAUAGAUAGAUCCGCACGGACAACUCACGUGCUAAUAAUAUCAAUAGAUGGAUCCGUACAAUCAACUCACGUGUUGCAUGAACAACUCAUAUGCUAUAAUAAGACAAUCUGGCCUGCUGCGGCGUGCAGCCCGAUCCCAUAAUAAUAAAGUAUAUAAAGAAGUAUGGCCUUCUGCGGCGUGUAGUCCGAUCCCAUAAAUAUCCUCAAAAUCAAGCCCUCGGCCUCACUCAGUCAUCAAUCUCUCAAGUCUCGAGCUCAAAAUAUCAUGAAAGCUCGUCUAAAAAUAAUAAUAUGAUGUAUCAAUAAUUAGCAACAGAGACUGAGAUAUGAUAUGAAAUGAAUGAACAUGACUACGUAUGAAAUUAUAAUUUAAACAAAUAAUUCAACAAUAAUAUGACCUUUGUUGGCCUCAAUAAUAACGGCAUAUAACCUCAGCACAAUUUUUAACAUGAUUCUCAGCUAAAUUUCUUUAACACAUGGAAGUACAUGGAUAAUGCCAAGAUUAUGUGAUUGCAAAACUCUACGAAAUCAAUUACGUCAUAAAUUUCUACGGUGCAUGCCUAAAUACCUGUCACCUAGCAUGUAUGUCACCUUCAAACAAUUCAUAUAACAUGUAAUUUAGGGAUUCAUACCCUCAGCUCCAAGUUUAGAAAUGUUACUUACCUCAAACCAUGCAAUUCUUUAUUCCAAUAAGCCUUUUCCUUGCGAUUCGGCAUCCGAACGCCUCGAAUCUAGCCACAAAUAAUCCAAUACAAUCAACACGAGGUGUAGGAAUCAAUUUCAUAUGAAAAUGCUAAAUUUCACAAUAAAUCCAAUAAAGUCAACGAAAAGUCAACCGUGGGGCCCACGUCUCGAAACCCGACAAAAGUUACAAAAUAUGCGCGCACAUUCAACCACGAGUCUAACCAUACCAAAUUCCGACAUCAACUCGACCUUUAAAUCCUCAAAUCUUUUCAAAUCCCUAUGCCCAAAUUCUCAAAUUACACCUCAAAAUCACGUAAUCUCGUCGGAAUAUUCGAUGAUAAUUCAAUAUUAUUGACUAAAGAUGAUCACAAAUGACUUACCUCAAGAUUUCCCGUGAAAUUUCUCUGAAAAAUCGCCCAAGCCAUGUUCUUUCGCCCAAAAAUGUUGAAAUGAGCUAAAAAACAAAACGGCUUAAUAAAAACACAUUUCCCGUCACCAAAAAUUUAUUUACUGUCACUAAAGAUCCGCACCAGAACCUGUUUGCACCAGUAAUUUAUUUUUCACUAAAAAGGGCUCUAACUCCAUCAUACGAACUCAGAAUUUGACGAUUCUUGUUCCUAUGAGUCAAAUAAUAAUUCGAACCUAGUUGUUCAAUCGAAACUCAAUUCGAAGCUCAUUUUCUCAAUGGGAUACCAAUUUUGCUCGUUAAAAAUUAACUCAUGUUUCGCGCUAAAAACUCAAUCGCGACUUGAUGAAAUUAGACCAAGCUUUCUAGAUCAUUCUUAUAAUUCAUUAUCAAAUUCCCGGAAGUCUCGAAAUCAAAUUUCGAUCUCUAGAACUAAAAAUGGACCUUUGGAUCAUUACAUGCGUAUGCUCAAAACACCAAACUCUUCCAAAACCCAUUCGAGCCCCAUGAGACCCCAACCAAGUAUACUAAAAAGUCUCAUAACAUGACACGAACUUAGUCGAUACCUCAAAUUACAUUAAACAACACUUAAAGCACAAAUCACACCCCAAUUCAAGCUUAAUGAAAACUAACGAAUUCCAAAUUCUACAUUCGAUGUCGAAACCUAUCAAAUCAAGUUCGAUUGACUUCAAAUUUUGCACACAAGUCAUAAAUGACAUAACAGACCUAUCAAAUUUUUCAGAACUGGAUUCAGACCGCGAUAUCAAUAAAGUCAACUCCCGAUCAAACUUCCAAACCUUCCAUUUUCAACUUUGCCAUUUCAAGCCAAAAUCAACUACGACCUUCCAAAUAAAUAUUCGGAUACACUCUUAAGUCCAAAAUCACCAUACAGAGCUAUUGGAACCAUCAAAACUCCAUUCGAAGUCACAAUUGUACAAAAAUCAAACUUCGGUCACCUCUUUUUAUUUAAGCUUCUAAACAAGGAUUGUUCUUUCAAUUUGUUCCUGAAUCAUCCGAAUAUCAAAUACGACAAUUCACACAAGUCAUAAUAUCUAUUAUGAAGCUGCUCAAGACUUUAAAUUGUUGAACGGGAUGUAAAUGCUCAAAAUAACAAGUCUGGUCGUUACAUUAUGGUAUUUUCUCGUGCAAUUUUUAGAUAUUUCUUUCAGCUUUACUGGUCGCAAUGUUAAAGUUUGAGUACUUUGUUGUAGUUGCAUACAGUAUUUUAAAACACUAGUUGUAUAUAAUCAGAUACAAAACCUAUUACUUAAAUCCUUUGAUUUGGAGGCAUAUUAAAGGCAGAUCUCCGUUGUGCUAAAGAUUUAUACAAGUUAUGAACCCGAAUUCACAACACAAAGUAAACGAAGGAAAGGAUAGGUUUAAUUCAUAAACUCAAAGAGUCAAUCAUUACAAUAACGGAAAUUAGAACUAAGAAGAAAAUUUAGAGAAGAAUGAUAGAGAGAACCGAGGGAGAACAGAAAGAGAUAGUCCAGAGGAAGAAGUUAGAAGAACGGAGACGAGAUGGGAACAAAGUUCUCAACAAUACGCAUAAUCUCAAAAUCACCGGCCACUACUCUUUUAAUAGAAUAGUUCAUGGGCUUACUAGUCAAUCCGGAUCCCAAAUUAGCCUGACCUUAUUGCUUGCUCUCGGCCCAAUAGCUCUUCUCAGACCAAUAGCUAUUUGUGUGUUGAUAUCCUUAUUGGACUGGAGUUGAUUCAUAACAAUACUCCCUUCCUCAAAAAGAACCUUGUCCUCAAGGUUCGAAGACAAUGAUAUCAUAGUGGUGAAGUUCACCGAUGGAGCUUGAAGUAACGUCGUGGAACAGUUUACAUAGGAAAAUGCAAUAACCACAUCUCCAAAAGUCUCAACAAAGUUAUUUGUCCCCACCCAUGUUCGUGAGAGUUCAUAUGUAAAGCCUCUACCACUACUAAGGUAUUUGAUCUACUCACUAGUACUACCAGAUGUAGCCUUGGAGAUUGCCAAUGAAGCCUUCUUUUUAAUUUCAAACUCUACAAUUUGUAGCAAGUGAACAAAACCAGCCACAAUCACACACUGAAUUUUCUCCCUAAAGCUUGCUGGGAUGUUUAAAAUUGUCCAAUUAUUGUGGUAUCCAAAUGAUGCCAACUGAAAGUUGGUAAUUCUAUUACUCCCUCUGUUCCAGUUUAUGUGAACCUAUUUUCUUUUUGGUUCAUUCCAAAAAGAAUGACCUAUUUCUAAAUUUGGUAACAAUUUAGCCUAAACUUACAAUUCUACCCUUAAUGAAAAGCUUUUAUAACCACACAAAUACUCUGGGCUCCUUUUUGCUUUGUUUAGGACCACAAAUUUUAAAAGUCUUCAUUUUUUCUUAAACUCCGUGCCCAGUCAAACAGGUUCACAUAAAUUGAAACGGAGGGAGUAUAAAAGAGUCCAACCAAUGCAGUUAUACAACAACUCCUGGCUACUAAAAGCAACUCUCCUGGUGCCACAACCUUGGAUACAUUGAUCUCCUUGACAAUAGAGGAAAGCUCAUCUUGUUUACUACAAUUUGAAUGGACAACUCAACAAAAAUAGAUGAAUCAGUAACAUGGGAAUGUCUAAUUCUACUUUUCUUCCUUGUCAUCUCAACUCUAUCUACCUCAACAAUAACUUGUUUGUCAUCUCUCCUAAACUCAAAAAGCUCAUCUUCAUUCUCCUCGCCAUGGCCCUCCUCGAUGAGGUUUGUGCCAUCUUGCAACAUGCUAGUCAGCUUGACAUCUGAGAUAGUAUUCCAUGAGAUCAAGCCGAAGUUUAUUUCUGUUGACAUGGCAAUAGGCGAGAUUGCUCAUCUAUAGCUCAAGGUUGGUUGUCGUUUCUUCCCAACGCUAUCUUGUGGCUUCAUUGUCAACUGGGCCUUUUCACCUCUCGCUAUAUUUUUCACAACCAUACUAAGAACAUAGCAGAAAUGACUAUAUAGAACGGUCAAGUCCACCUUUUUUAAUGUAUCCACAACCAUGUUACCCUUGAGAGCUUCAUACUUGACUAGAACAUCGUCAACAACAUUACUAAAACUGUGUUCCCACUCUGAUAUGUGUUUGAAAUCUGCCACCAAAAUUUCAUGUUUUAUAUUAAAAUACUCAUCUAAGAUUGGACUAUAUUCUUCCCCUAUAAUUAAAGGACCCGUGAAUGAAAUAUAGUUACAGUCAACACAGAACCCUUUGGAUAAGUAGGAAUUCAUACACCAUGGUUGUCCAGGAUCCCACACUUUACUCGUAGAGUUAGAAUAUGCAAAUAAGGAAGACUUGCCAAUACAUCCCAACAAAAGUAGUUCCUCUACAUUCUCAAUAUACCUUAGCUUGAGUAAAAAUUCUUGCUUCUGUUAUAGCCUUGAGUACGUAUUUCACUGAAGUAUCCUUAUCAGAGUAUUAUACCAUAAUUCCAUAAUGUAAGGCAAACAAUAAAACAAGAAGGUUCAGUCUCCAAGGUAAUACCAUGUCUCUUUUCAAGUCGGAUGAAGGGUCUUUUUCAGCAUUAUAACAGUAAUGAAAAGUUGGAGAUAUAGUUGCAGCCAAUAUCGAAUCAAAGUGCAAAAUGUAGGCAUUCGAACACCAUUCUUGUCGGGGAUCCCACGCAGUAGUUAUGGAGUUAAUAUUUGGAAAGAAGAAAAAUACGUUAAUAGAUCCCUUCAAUAGCAGUGGCUCCACAUUCACUGUAUAACCUGUUAGAGACUUGAACUUGAAACUUAUUCCUGGAUCUCCAACAUAUUGCUAGUAUUUGUCUCCUGCGAGUUUGACAUAUUCUUUUGCAUACCAUUCUCCCUUCUUCCAUGUAGGUUCAUGUCUCCUACUGGCUGUGUGUGUAGAGGUGUGAACUGCAAUGUUCCUUGCUCCAUUGACUCAUGUGCAUCAUAUGAUUUGAUUCCCUCCUUUUUAGAAAAAAGAAACUCUGAUUCCCUGAAUACAACAUCUCUUCUUGUAAAAAACUGCCUUGUUACCAAAUCAAGCAAAAUGUAUCCUUUAUGUGUCUCGGAAUAGCCCAUGAGGAUGGUUGCCUUGGCUCUAUCAGCAAACUUGUCUGCCUUGAUUAAACUAGUUACAUAGCAUAAACACCCUAUGGUUCUCAAGUGUGUGAUGUUAGCUUUCUUGUGGUGCAACAACUCAUAUAGAGUUUUUGUCACGCCCCAAACUUGAAGAGGCGUGGCCGGCACCCGGUUCCGUACUCGGUCUGAAUGUACAACUCUGUAACUAUGGACUUUGGAGGGGUAACCCUCAACUUAGGCCGAUGAGGCCAUAUUCUGAAUCGUCUGAAAAUAACGUCUCUCUCAUUUAUGGGAUAAAUAUACCCAAAAGCUCAUAUAUAUAUAUAUAUAUAUAUAUAUAUAUAUAUAUAUAUAACUGUGGAGACUGACGAGACCGCCAUGAACAUCUACCGGUAUACAAACUAUACAAGACUCGUCUACAAGCCUCUAGAGAUAACUGAACUAUACCAUGGUCGGGACAGGGCCUCGACCUACCAAUCAAAUCUGUAUAUAUAAAAUGGACUCCAAGGUCUAGACCUGGCAACUCCGAGGAAGUGGAGCUUACCAACCUAGCUGAUGUUUAACUCUGUCUAUUGGGAGGGUCUAUCCAACUGUCAAUAAGGACCUACAGGCAUGAAAUGCAGCAUCCCCAGCAAAAAGGACGUCAGUACGAAAUAAUGUACCGAGUAUUUAAGGUAAUAGGAUAACUGAAAACUGAAACUGAACUGAUAAUUGGAGUCAAGAUAAUCUGAAGAUAUGCUUACCUGCUGAUAUUGGCUCAACUCUCUCAAUAUAGUAAGUAAAAUAGUUGUCUGGCCUUAUAAGGCUUGGUAUGUGUAACUGAUCUGUCAUAGUAGGACCGCUCAUAGGCGCUCGGCCAUACUAGGCUCUGUAUAUCGGCAAUUCUAGGCUCGCUCAUAGGCGCAUGGCUUCCGAUCACCGUCCCGUGAGUUCUUACAACUAUAGAAUGACUUACCAUGAAUUUAUAGUAGAAACAAUAGAUGAAAGAGAGAAGUAAACGUACCUUAUUUGUUGGAUAACUCAGCUCCUAUAUUGGUUCUUCAAACUCUAGGUUUUACCCCCAAUUAUAACUUGAAAGGGAGAGAAAAUUAAUUAGGGUUUGUGGGUAAUUUUUGGGAGGAAGUUUGCAGAGGUUUAGGUCUGGUUAUUUGUGAUAUAUAAUGAGGUUUAUAUUGCAGGAGAUAAGCCCUUACAUGGGCUCUUUGGCUGACCCGAAAUUGCCUCUUUUUGGGCUCUCAUUUAACAAAUUACUUGUCACAUAGCAACAUGUGCAGUCUCACAAAACUGCAUAUAUAUCUCUACCCUGAUGUUGUAUUGAUAAACAGUUUAAUGCUUUAGAAAAUAGACUCAUCGAGAUUCAAUUUGAUGGGUGGAACACCCCACAACUCUAAGUAUAUAUGGAGAAAAUUGCAGUUACAUUUGACCUAAGUUUCAACACAUUUAUGAAUGUAACUUGUGAUGGCCUUUUUCAACUUUUGUUCCACAACUCGCUUGACUUCAAAUCAUAGCACACGUCUAUCAUACGACUAAAAUAACUCAUAAUAUAAUCUCCUUAUAAUUUUAAACACCUUAUUCUCUCCUCAAAAGUACAUGUUACAAUAUUCCCAACUUAUUGACUUUCGAUGAAACUUAUUUUCUUCAAUUCAUUUAGCUUCUAAGCCAUCAAACCAUCUUGGUAAUUGGUAUUCAUGAUCUGAAAUAUUUGUAACCUCCAUUGUAACAUGAUUAACUUACUUUAUGUACUUUCAAAGUUGAUCUCAUUUUUGAGCUUACAUCAAUUGACUUACGAAUACUCUCAUGUACGAAAACAUGGAGUGUAACAGUUUUGCCCCUAGAACACUUGAUGGCAACCUAUUAAUCAAGUAUAUUGUUGAUUUACACACAUCCCCCAAUAUCUGACUGGGAUUGAUCCUUGAAUUUUCAAAGCCCUUGCAGUGUCAAGUAUGUACUUGUGCCUUCUCUCAACUACUCCAUUCUGUUGUGGAGUAUAAGGGCAGCUACUUUGGUGAACUAUACCAAGGUCUAUAAGAAACUUAGAACAUUGAGCAUUAAAAAAUUCAGAUCCGUUGUAUGAUCUUAUUACUUUAAUUAUAACUCAAAAUUGAUUCUUAAUCAUGGUAAUAAAAUUCUUUAUCAUCACUACUACUUCAGAUUUUAGUUGCAAAAAGAAUACACAUGUAUACCUUGAGUAAUCAUCUAUAAUUGUUAAGAAAUACUGUUUCUUAUCAAAAGUAGCAAUCUUAUAAGGGCCCUACAAAUCCAUGUGUACAAGAUGAAAUGCUACUUCUGCUCUUGAAUUACUCAAAGAAAUCUUCAAUCUAGUCUGCUUUGUUAAUGGACACAUGAGAUAGUUUUCAUGCAACAUGUCAGUGCUCUUAUUGCUGUUUCUCCUGUUUAUAGUAUUGAGUGCCUUUAUUCUGUUGACCAAUUCUCUAAGAACAUAUAGGCCUCCUCUUCCUCUAUCAAUCCUCUUCACCUUGCCAUUCCAAAGAUCCUGAAAUACACAAAAAUCAGGGAAGAAAUUUGCAUUAUAUUUCAGUUCCUUUGUUAGUUUUGCUACUGAUAGCAUAUUAAACUUGAAGCUAGAGACAUAAAUCACAUCCUUAAUUUCUCUUUUGUCUAAUAAAGUUGCAUUUCCAAUGUGAGUAAUGUCUUCCUGUUCUCCAGUUGGAAGAUUCACUUUAUCCCUAUUAGUUUUCUUUAUGCACAUAACAUCUGAUAACAGUUCUAAGUCAGAAGUGAUGUGGUGGGUAGCACCGAAAUCUACAACCCACUCCUUCUCCUUUGAUUCUUGUGUGAGUUUACUCAUCAGACAAUUAACCUCACAUGUUUCAGCUCCUACAUUUGCCAUGAUUGCCAUAUUACACUUAGAAUUUGACUCCUUGUUCAAGAGGUUCAGAAUCUGAUUGUAUUGAUCAUUUGUGAAGUAGUGAUAUCCCUUGUGCUCAGCAGUUCUAGAGGAACCAUCAUCCAUAUUCUGCAUAGAAUGUACACCUGCAUCUGCAUUGUUAAUCAAAACCAUGGACUCUCUUCUCCAUCCAGCUGACUUACCAGCAUUGCAACCAUUGCCAUCUUGUUUACCUGCAUUAAAAUUGUUCCAUCCAGGCUUACCAUUGUUUAUCCUAUUCCAACCAUUUUGAUUUUCAUAACCAGAACUCUAUUUGUCAGUAACCUUGAGUUCUCAUCCCUUUACCAUAUCUUCUUCUAAAGGCAAAAUCGGCAGGGUAACCAACAAGCUUAUAACAAUUCUCCUUAGUGUGUCCCUUGAGAUGACAGAAAUCACACUGUAGGUAUUGUCUCAUUCCUCUUCCUUGUCCUGCUUGCAUAGCUAAUGGUUCUACACUAUCAGAAGUCACAACAUUUACCCCUAUCUUUUGUUGGCUCUCAUCUUGUAUUAUCAUAGCAUAGGUUUGAUUUAGGUUAGGUGCAUUAGUUUUCAUGAGAAUCUGUCUUCUAACUUAAUCAUACGACUCAUUCAAACCAGAUAGGAAUUGUAUAACCCUUUGUUGAUGAAAAUUCUCUACAUGUUCUUUCAAUUUCUCACAGCAAUUAGGAAAUAGAACCAAAACAUCAUAUCCAUGCCAUAAUUCCUUCAAUUUUGAAAAGUAUACUGAGACAUAACUAGUUCCUUGAGAUAAUGUGGCAAUUUUGUGAUGUAAUUGAAAAAUCCUAAUGCAAUUUGCCUUAUUAAACCUUUCUCGUAGGUCUUCCCACACUAGAUGUGCAUCAGAUGCAUACACCACUCCACAUAAAAGCUCUGGUUGUUACGUUGUUCAUAAUCCACAAGAGAACAAUAACGUUGCAUGCCUCUCAUUGCUCCAGCAACUCACCUUCAUAUGCGCUUCUGUUACAUCUCCCAGUAAUAAACCCUAAUUUCUUCUUCCCUAAGAGUGUGAUUCUCAUCGAUCUUCUUCAGAGUCCAUAAUUCUCGGAACCUGUGAGUUUCAUCGGCACGACGACUGAGCUAAGAGUACCAGACGGUCCGAUGUAUAACGGAUGGUUGUGAUCAAUUAUCGCCAUCUCCGACACUGACGAAUCUUCUUCCGCCAUGAAUGAGCUUCAACGAGCUUCAAUAAAAAACUCAAUUAAUCAACAAUAGAACUAACAGACAAGUUCAGAGAUAUAGCGCACUUUGCUCCAGGUACGUUGCUCUGAUACCAUGCCAAAAAUCAAAGAUGAAUGAGGAGCUCUAAUGGAGGAAACUUCUAGAAUGCAAUAAGAAAGGCAGAGCAUUCAGAAGAAGGAAAUGAGCUACUGUUCUAUUGAACUGAACAUUGUCGAUAUGUACAAGACACAAGAAGAAGAGAAGGAAAAUACUAAUCUACCUUUAACUUAACAACUAUUAACCGCCUAAUUAACAGCUCAGCUAACUGAUUAUCCAGCUAAGCAGACCACAUGUAACGCCCGUGACUCUCAAUAGUUAUCUUUAAAUCUUGCCAAUUUAUUGAUAAAUUAGGUAAUAUAGUAGUGCCAUUUCAUAGUCAUCCUGGUAAGUUUAGAUAUAUAUGAAAUGGUUGUUUUCCCUGUAUUGAGAUUUUUCGUAAUCAUGAAAUCUUGUUUGUUGAAUCUUUUCAAAGGUAUGUGUAAUUAAUACGACUACUAAUGACACAAAUAACACAAACUACGUCGGGCAUACGAUAGCACGGGCACAACCCAUCUACUCUUAACUAGAUGGGAUUGUAAAAAUAACACGGUAUAGCU